Scaptodrosophila lebanonensis is the source of this 1336-nucleotide long non-coding RNA. RefSeq lists it as uncharacterized. NCBI's taxonomy places the organism in Eukaryota, Metazoa, Arthropoda, Insecta, Diptera, Drosophilidae. The record is from RefSeq and is a predicted model, not a curated record. The transcript is spliced from 4 exons.
AGCAGCAGCAACAGAAGAAGCAGCCUAUUGUCAAAUUAUGCAAAUGCUUCUUGUGCCGUUAAUUACAACAACUACAACAAUAACAAACAGCAACAAAAACAACCGCAGCAACACCACCUAGAGGGGCGUCAAAAUCUGAGAAAAAGAUUUCCUCAAGUCUUUUAUAUUUUGUUUCUAAUUCUGUAUGUGUUGUUGUUUUUGUUUCGUUCUCUGUGUCUUAUACGAAUAAAUCCGUUUAAUCCGUUUAUACCAUGCUCGGUAUUAUGCGUGAGUGAGUGGCCAAGACUCUUGGAUGCCUAUUUAAGCCCACAUCGUGUCAACCUUGCCAGCUCUUUGCGUCAUUGCCAGCAACUGUCAGCGACUUGGGCAGCUUGUAUCUUCUUUUCAUGCACACUGGUCUUUCAAAUAUUCUCUACUCUUCAUCCUCGACUGCCUUGUGAUAUUAAAUAUUAUUUUAUACGCAACGUGACAUUUGCCACCUGUUCUGCAAGUUUGCUGAAAAGCGUUUAAAAAAUAAUUUCAACAUUCUAUGCAAACGAGACUUUGACGAGGCAGUGGUGGGAGAAGAAGAAACGGACGCUGAAGCAACGGGCGCCAAUUUGUUCAUCAAGAGACACAACAAGUGAAUGGCUUAAGGCAAGCUUUUUCAAGCCUUCGGCACCGACUACGUGCAAAGACAAAAAUUAACGUUAUAGCACCAGCAACAGCAACAACAAAAACUAUAAUAGGCUGACAUAGAAGGAAGGAAACCUGACAAUCAGAGCUCAACGCAGCCAGCGGUUUCACAACUACACCCAAACGGCUUCAUUACCCGAGAAUCGAUUAGGAAGAUAAAUUAAAGUGGAGCACGGGGAGCAGCAAUCAUUUAUAAAGCAGCGAAUAUUUCCUUAGACGACAUUUUAGGUUCAUCACAAGACGCGCACAAAAGUCAAAGUGCAAAAGCACACGGAGCAGACAGCAGCCCCCACACAAGAGUAACAACAGCAACAACUAAUAAGAGGACUUUAUUUUUAUUGAAAUUAUGAUUAAUGACAGAAAUAUUGCACGCGCACGAGCAGAAAGAGGAAGGGAAAUCAACGCGUGUUAGACAUUGUAAGGAAUUAAGCGACGCUGCUGAUGCUAAUGAUGACGAUAAAGAUGAAUUCGCUAUGGCGCGCCAUUCGCCGGUGUUGAUGAACAACAACAACAACAACAACAGAAACAGCAACAGCAAUGAGCAGAGAACGCGAGAGCAUGUCGUAAUGGAGAAGCCACCAACAAUGUAUAUGAUGAUGAUGAUGAUGUUGACGAUGCAGAUAAUGAUGAUGAUGAAAAGCAGGUCAGCAGUCAGUGCUAU